Molecule: non-coding RNA, 921 nt
Organism: Schizosaccharomyces pombe (fission yeast)
Lineage: Eukaryota; Fungi; Ascomycota; Schizosaccharomycetes; Schizosaccharomycetales; Schizosaccharomycetaceae
Source: the annotation of a GenBank genome assembly
UGGUAAACAAAAUUUUAUUUUAGAUUCAUUAGCUAACAAAAUUGACAAUGAUCAAGGGACUCGGAUGAAACCUAUCUAACCAAAAUUCUUUUAUUAUCUAAUGGGUUUGUAUGAUUAAGAUAAAGGUUAAAUCGUAUCGCAACUUAAACACAUACUAAUAUAGCAAGUAUUUAAAUUAGUUUUUGUAAGAUAAUGAUCCAACUUUACGCUUUCACGAUUAAGUACUUUGGUAACUUCAGUCACAUCUCCAAAGCGAGCGGGUGGGUAAAUAGAAAUGAGAUUUUGAGGAUCAUAUCCUUCAAACUUACAAGAAGAAAGCGAACCAGGUCGGAUAAGUCCUUCAUGAAAAAGUCCGUUUAUGGUCACAGCCUCUAGAGUCCGAUAUAGUGCUGACAUUCGGAAUUGGGUUUCUAUAAUUGCAUCGUUUUUACCCUGGGUAUCCAAAACUUGGAUCCAGUUGUCAUGUAAAACAGCUCGUCUCCAAAUGGUAUUUUCAUAAAAUCUCUUGGCAUCGUCCGUUAAUCUGGUGGUUAAAAGAAGACGCAAAGCAAGAUAAUAGUCGGUAACUUCACCUUCUACAAGGUCCUCUCGACGGUAUAAAGAAAAGCUGAGGUACUCCAACAGUUCAGUUGCUUCAACCACCUGUCCGGCAAUGAACUUUUUGACUACGCGCUGCAUAACCUGACGAGCGAUAACAGGCGCUACCUUGGCACCAAUCAAAUCAUCCACAACAGCUUCUACAAGCUGGUAUUUUUUCCCCUGAGAACGAAGCCGUUCAACGACUGGCAUAACACUUUUGGAAACCAUUUUUUGAAUAUGUAGUUGCUCAAGCUUUUGUUCCACUAAAACCAAAUCUCUGAUAUUUCCAGAGUUGGAUGGAACUGCAUAAAGAAAUAAUUUACUUAAUGAAAGCUCAGAUUC